AAAAACAUGUCUUUUUGAAUAUAAUAUAAAGUCUAACCUGCCCACUGAUAAUUUAAAGGGCCGCGGUAUUUUGACUGUGCAAAGGUAGCAUAAUCAUUUGUCUUUUAAUUGAAGGCUGGAAUGAAUGGUUGAAUGAAAUAUUAACUGUCUCAUUUUUAAAAAUAUAAAAAUUUAGCUUUUAAGUCAAAAGGCUUAAAUAUAUUUAGAGGACGAGAAGACCCUAUAGAUCUUUAUAUUAUUAAUAUUAUUAUAAUUUAGAAAAUUAUUUAAUAAUAUUAUUAAUAAUAUUUUAUUGGGGUGAUAGGAAAAUUAAAUAAACUUUUCAUAUAUAAAUAUACAUUGAUUUAUGAAUUUAUGAUCCAAUAAUAUUGAUUAUAAGAUUAAGUUACCUUAGGGAUAACAGCGUAAUUUUUUUAGAGAGUUCAUAUCGAUAAAAAAGAUUGCGACCUCGAUGUUGAAUUAAAAGUUAUUUCUAGAUGCAGAAGUUUAGAGUUUAGGUCUGUUCGACCUUUGAAUUUUUACAUGAUCUGAU
RNAcentral lists this ribosomal RNA (532 nucleotides) under Apochrysa montrouzieri. Its description in RNAcentral is "partial large subunit ribosomal RNA". It matches the Rfam family "Archaeal large subunit ribosomal RNA", at positions 1901 to 2678 of the family's 2987-position model. Lineage: Eukaryota; Metazoa; Arthropoda; Insecta; Neuroptera; Chrysopidae. The record is from RNAcentral.